AAAAAUUGAUUGAUGAUAAAACUGCAAUAAGAUCAUUAAGAACAAUAUUUCUGAAUAGCCUGUUUAUAUUAUGCUUUGUAAUGUUGCAUUCAUUUAAUUUAAUUGAGUUUUUAAUUUUUAUUAAUGUAUUCACUAAUGUUUCAGAUCCAUAACGAUGAUUGUUUUAUAUUUGUCAUGCAUUUAUGUAACCAUUGCUUUGUCUGCAUUUAGUUUUAUGCAUUUUGUGCCCUUGUUUGUGAACCUUUGUUCUGUUUCAUGUUUUCUGUAGUUAUGCAAGCUACUUGAAGCUGAAUUUCCCAAAAUGAGACCACUUACUGGAGGUUGGCUGCUUUAUAAGGCCCCAGGUGCACUGUAUUGUCAUCCAAACCAGACCCCAGCUCGUGAAGAGCUAAACACAACAUGUUUAGUGCAAAUGUACAAGUGAUAUCUUGAGUGGUGUUAUAGACACAGGGUUAGAAUUGAACCUUUCUCUUGACAUCCCUAAGCUGACAUGUGUAUACAUUAGAACUGACUCCUUUAUAGCAUUGCACAGGGAAGGGAUAUUAGGAUAUGGGUAGAAAGUCCUGGUUAUUAUUAUUGAAACACAAAAGAAGAUAUUUUAAAGAAUGUUGGUAACCAAGCAACAUUGGUGCCUAUUGACUUCCAUUGUAUGGCAAAAACAAACAAACAAAAAAACAAAAAAAAAAAAAAAAAAAACAGACAUUUCUCAAAAUAUCUUCUUUUGUGUUCCACAGAAGAAAGAAAGUUUACAGGUUUGGAAGGACAUGAGGGUGAGUAAAUGAUGACAGAAUUUUCAUUUUUGGGUGUACUAUUCCUUUAAGAAUAUAGAACGUAUGGGGCCUGAGUAGCUUAGUGGUAAUAUAAGCUGGCCACCACCCCUGGAGUUGGCUAGUUCGAAUCACAGGGCAUGCUGAGUGACUCCAGCCAGGUCUCCUAAGCAACCAAAUUGGCCCGGUUGCUAGGGAGGGUAGAGUCACAUGGGGUAACCUCCUUGUGGUCGCUAUAAUAUGGUUCGUUCUAGGUGGGGCGCGUGGUGAGUUGAGCGCGGAUUCCGCGGUGGAUGGCGUGAAGCCUCCACACGCGCUACGUCUCCGUGGCAACGCGCUCAACAAGCCACGUGAUAAGAUUGAUGGUCUCAGACGCAGAUCUGCCACCCGGAUUGAGGCGAAUCACUACGCGACCACGAGGACUUAAAAGCGCACUGGGAAUUGGUGGAAAAGGAAGGGAAUUUUUUUUUAAUAGAAUUUAUGACCUAUAAAUUGUCCAGAUGAUGAACUGCAUUUGAUGUUGUUGUAGACAGCAAGGAUUUCAAGAUUUGCGUGUCUCACAUAGACUUCUUUCAAAGAGCUAUGGUACAGUGGCAGCGCCAAAAGAGAGGAACUCCUGGCAACACUUUGCGUGUAACAUUUUUGGGGGAAGCAGAUGUUGAUACAGGUGCCAUUCAAAAGGAAUUUCUUACAGAUCUGUUGUGCUGCAUGCAUAUUCUGCAUCUGAUCCCAGUGUUGAAGUAAGUCCGAAAAGGUCUUCAAGUGUACAAUUUUGUGGACAGCUUGUGCCAACAUUUCUUUGUCCCCAGUGCAGUGGACGAUGAUGACGAUAAGAUUUUAUCAUGCAGAGCAUUCUUCCUGAACUAUCGGAGAAAGAAACAGUACAAGAGACCCGUGAAACAGCCAUCAUCAACUUCCUACAAAAUUUUCUUCAGGAAAUUUAAAGCGCUGAGGAUAACCCUGAUGGAGACACCCUGCCCCUAACUGUUGUGUCCCUGGCUUACCGGCCAGGGACACAAGCCUCUUCUUAUGUCAGAACUUAGGGAAUUCAAAAUCUCUUUGAAUUUUGACCACGAGUGCAUGCAGAGGAUGCCAGAGCACAAGAUUUGCUUCCCAGUUGUAAGUGCCUGUGCCAGAAAAAUUACAUUGAAUUAUAGUUGUCCAUGUGUGCUGUAGGCAUUCAAAAUAGUCAUGUUGCAAGCCAUCCAUUUUGACACUGGAUUCAACAGAGUUUAAAAUAUAAGCAAUGCUACUAAAUUUUA
Molecule: long non-coding RNA, 2029 nt
Organism: Myxocyprinus asiaticus (Chinese sucker)
Lineage: Eukaryota; Metazoa; Chordata; Actinopteri; Cypriniformes; Catostomidae
Exons: 4
Source: RefSeq, a predicted model, not a curated record